CCCUUAGAUGUCCGGGGCUGCACGCGCGCUACACUGAAGGAAUCAGCGUGCUAAAACCAUUGUCGAAAGGCAUUGGUAAACCCAUUAAAAUCCUACGUGAUUGGGAUCGGGAAUUGCAAUUAUUUCCCUUGAACGAGGAAUUCCCAGUAAGUGUGGGUCAUAAGCUCGCGUUGAUUACGUCCCUGCCCUUUGUACACACCGCCCGUCGCUGCCCGGGACUGAGCCGUUUCGAGAAAAGCGGGGACUGCUGCUGUCGGGGCUUUCGGGCCUUGGCUUCGGUGGAAACAGCUUUAAUCGCAGUGGCUUGAACCGGGCAAAANUCGUAACA
RNAcentral lists this ribosomal RNA (328 nucleotides) under uncultured eukaryote. RNAcentral describes it as "partial 18S ribosomal RNA". It matches the Rfam family "Eukaryotic small subunit ribosomal RNA", at positions 1470 to 1796 of the family's 1831-position model. The record is from RNAcentral.